GUACAAUAAGCUACAUAAGAGCGUAUGGGGAAUGCCUAGGCUCUCAGAGGCGAUGAAGGACGUGAUAAGCUGCGAAAAGCUGCGGGGAUUGGCACAUACAACGUGAUCCGCAGAUAUCCGAAUGGGGCAACCCACUAUAUUGAAGAUAUAGUAUCCGCAAGGAAGCAAACCCGGAGAACUGAAACAUCUAAGUACCCGGAGGAGAAGAAAACAAAAGUGAUUCCGUAAGUAGUGGCGAGCGAACGCGGAUUAGCCCAAACCGAUAUUGUUACGGCAAUAUCGGGGUUGUAGGACCACGACAUUCGAAGCAUGAUGAAUUAGAACCCUUUGGAAAGAGGGGCCAUAGACGGUGAUAGCCCGGUAUAGGUAAAGAAUGCAUAGAUAGUGGUAUCCUGAGUAGUGCGGGGCACGUGAAACCCUGUAUGAAUUUGGCGGGACCAUCCGUUAAGGCUAAAUACUCCUGAGAGACCGAUAGUGAACUAGUACCGUGAGGGAAAGGUGAAAAGAACCCUGAAUAAGGGAGUGAAAUAGAACCUGAAACCAUACGCUUACAAGCGGUCGGAGCAGACUUAGGUCUGUGACGGCGUGCCUUUUGCAUAAUGAGCCUACGAGUUACCGUUGCCAGCGAGGUUAAGUGGUUAAGCCACGGAUCCGUAGCGAAAGCGAGUCUGAAUAGGGCG
Molecule: ribosomal RNA, 680 nt
Filed under: Gelidibacter salicanalis
Lineage: Bacteria; Pseudomonadati; Bacteroidota; Flavobacteriia; Flavobacteriales; Flavobacteriaceae
Description: partial 23S ribosomal RNA
Rfam family: Bacterial large subunit ribosomal RNA
Source: RNAcentral